AUGGCCUGGACGCCUCGCCUCCUAGUGCUUCUCUUGUUUUGCACAGGAUCCUGGUCCCAGUCUGUGCUGACUCAGCCACAGUCAGUCUCUGGGAACCUGGGCCAGAGGGUCACCAUCUCCUGCACUGGAAGCAGCUCCAACAUCGGGAGUAAUUCUGUGCACUGGCACCAACAGCUCCCAGGAACAGCCCCCAAACUCCUGAUAUAUUGGGAUGAUGUACGACCUUCAGGGGUCCCUGAUCGAUUCUCUGGCUCCAAGUCUGGCAGCUCAGCCACCCUGACCAUCACGGGGCUCCAGCCUGAGGACGAGGCUGAUUAUUACUGCACAAGUUGGGACAACAGUCUGAGUGGUCCCACAAUGCUCCAAGCCUGUAAGGAAGUGAACAAAAACCCCCUUUCUCUUCAGCCAAGGGCAGGCACCCCUGGCAGCUGCUGCUGA
Molecule: non-coding RNA, 438 nt
Organism: Talpa occidentalis (Iberian mole)
Lineage: Eukaryota; Metazoa; Chordata; Mammalia; Eulipotyphla; Talpidae
Source: the annotation of a RefSeq genome assembly